RNAcentral lists this ribosomal RNA (487 nucleotides) under uncultured Gillisia sp. RNAcentral describes it as "bacterial SSU rRNA". It matches the Rfam family "Bacterial small subunit ribosomal RNA", at positions 91 to 576 of the family's 1533-position model. Lineage: Bacteria; Pseudomonadati; Bacteroidota; Flavobacteriia; Flavobacteriales; Flavobacteriaceae. The record is from RNAcentral.
ACGACCGGCGCACGGGUGCGUAACGCGUAUACAAUCUACCUUGUAGAGGGGAAUAGCCCAGAGAAAUUUGGAUUAAUGCCCCAUAGUAUUAUUAGAUAGCAUUAUCUUAUAAUUAAACAUUUAUGGCUACAAGAUGAGUAUGCGUUCUAUUAGUUAGUAGGUAAGGUAACGGCUUACCUAGACUUCGAUAGAUAGGGGUCCUGAGAGGGAGAUCCCCCACACUGGUACUGAGACACGGACCAGACUCCUACGGGAGGCAGCAGUGAGGAAUAUUGGACAAUGGGCGAGAGCCUGAUCCAGCCAUGCCGCGUGCAGGAAGACGGCCCUAUGGGUUGUAAACUGCUUUUAUAGAGGAAGAAACACUCCUACGUGUAGGAGCUUGACGGUACUCUACGAAUAAGGAUCGGCUAACUCCGUGCCAGCAGCCGCGGUAAUACGGAGGAUCCAAGCGUUAUCCGGAAUCAUUGGGUUUAAAGGGUCCGUAGGC